This is a long non-coding RNA of Arabidopsis thaliana (thale cress), 298 nucleotides long. RefSeq annotates it as other RNA. Lineage: Eukaryota; Viridiplantae; Streptophyta; Magnoliopsida; Brassicales; Brassicaceae. The record is from RefSeq. The transcript has a single exon.
CUUCUGUAUCCAAUCCUCGAAUUUCGUUGAGUUCAAUUUCUCUCCUCUGUUUUUAAUCCAUUAGCAUGAGAAAAAUAAGAUUAAUCCAAAUUGAACCGAAAUCUAAAAUUCACAUCUCUAAUCAGAGAUCCGGUCCGGUUCAGUCAGAUCCAAAGUGCAUUCACUUAAGUAAAAAGCUAAAAAGUAACAAUAUGUACAGUUACGUAUACACAACACCCAUCAAUUCAAGUUGGUUUAUCUUAAACCGGGUAAGAUAGAGAAUUUCAUAAAUUACCCGAAGAAGCCAUUUUUCUUGUGG